UAUUACGGAGACUACACAGUUUGUUUUUUACUUUGUUCAGUUUUGAGAGGUCUACUCAAACAUGGAGAAACCAAAUGAAUAAUGGAUAGAAAUUCAUUUUUCUACGCAUUUAGUUGGUUUUGAUAUGAGACGAGACUCUCAAACUUAUGUUGUUCAUUGAAAACUGGAUAUUUGAAGUAAAUUAGUAAUACAAACCGAGAACACCGCGUUGAAUGAGUUUUUUAAUAAGUUCAAUUGCUUAUUUUCUUGAUCGAACUUCUAUCGCUAGAAGAACGAUCAAAACCCAACCGUAAGGUUGAUA
Molecule: unclassified non-coding RNA, 301 nt
Filed under: Enterococcus villorum
Lineage: Bacteria; Bacillati; Bacillota; Bacilli; Lactobacillales; Enterococcaceae
Description: 16S-23S ribosomal RNA intergenic spacer
Source: RNAcentral